Molecule: long non-coding RNA, 827 nt
Filed under: Capsicum annuum
Lineage: Eukaryota; Viridiplantae; Streptophyta; Magnoliopsida; Solanales; Solanaceae
Description: long non-coding RNA (CANN_LNC001376)
Source: RNAcentral
UUUAUUGUGAUAAGAGUAAGGCCCGAGUGAAUUACCAGGUCACGGUCAACAGUUGUCUUAAACUAGAAAAGUAGUAUCCGUCAAUAGGAUACAGAAUACGGGGCUUCGUCACAAAAUCUCAAACAUUCCUCACAUAAUUCUCUAUUGAUUUCUCAUAAGGCAUGUCUCCAAAGACAUCCUAUAAGCGAAGUACUCCAAUAUCAUCCUGAGCUGUGAGGUCCAGCUCCACCAUAAAAUUACCAUUACGCAUAGAAGGCGGAACAUAAUUGAGAUCCUUACCUUUUUGUGAUGUCCCCACACGCUGCUCAGGCUGGUCCUCUUAUUCUGGUGUCUUCACUACUUUAGUGUCCUCCGACAACUUCAUCAAUGGCGGUAUAGUUUCCUUACCUCCAGUCAUAGGUGAGUUGCUAAUUCCUAAAAACUAUAACCGGUGAGGGACUAAUACUUCCUUAUGCAUACCUACUUUUUUAAUCUGAAUCUGAGUAUCCUUCUCACUCUCUUCUGUAAUCAAAAGAAAUUAGCUAGGAGAAAGCUCCCAAAUGUAAUGGGAUUAAGUUCAUAUUGAAUUGUACUAGCUAGAGUGACCAUAUUGGUCCUCGGCGUUCCUAUCUUCAUCUGGAUAUGAGCUUGGCGAGGCAUUUUUUUAUCUAAGGUGUGCUAAACGUGCACCGAGAGAAAAAAACGUGUCUUUAUUUGAUUUCGUUUACCAUUAAUUACUUCCUAAUCGCAUACUUUCUCUUUUUCAUUAUUGGAAGACAAAACUCUAGCGGAUCAUCCAUUAAUUAUAUUUAUAUUUCAUACUCCGGAUAAUCCGAUGCAUAUAUAUU